GGAGAGGUGUCCGAGCGGUUUAAGGAGCCAGUCUUGAAAACUGGUGAUACUGAAAGGUACCGUGGGUUCGAAUCCCACCUUCUCCG
This 86-nucleotide transfer RNA is filed under the name Lachnospiraceae bacterium. RNAcentral describes it as "tRNA-Ser". It matches the Rfam family "tRNA". From Rfam's summary of the family: Transfer RNA (tRNA) molecules are approximately 80 nucleotides in length. Their secondary structure includes four short double-helical elements and three loops (D, anti-codon, and T loops). Lineage: Bacteria; Bacillati; Bacillota; Clostridia; Lachnospirales; Lachnospiraceae. The record is from RNAcentral.